Molecule: unclassified non-coding RNA, 496 nt
Filed under: Hevea brasiliensis (rubber tree)
Lineage: Eukaryota; Viridiplantae; Streptophyta; Magnoliopsida; Malpighiales; Euphorbiaceae
Source: RNAcentral
GGUUCUUCGACGAGGAAGAGUAGAUGGAGACAAAUUUCGUGUAAAUUGAGGGUUGAUGGAGCUAAACAUCCGGAUGAAUCUGAAGAAGCUGAUGGGCUAGAGGAUGUGGAGAGGGCCCUUUCACUUGGAUGGCGCCAUUCCUGGGACUUCGAAUGAGUUCGUCAAUCAGGUGUCUUCUCGUGCUUACGAUAUGCGAAGAUAUCUUCAACAAUUGUUUGAUAGCAGCAGCAAUGACGUAUUGGAGGCCAACCCAUGCAGAGAAGCCUCAUAGCCUGUAUAUGUACGAACCCACAGAGAAAACUCAAAGAAAUCGCAGCGAGGUUGAAAGGGAGUGUGGGCUGCUAUUUUCCUAUGGAGGAAAGUGGAGGCCUGAAAUGGGAAAUCAAGCUAAACAGUCCAGAAUGGGGACAAAGUUCCAGAUUAUUGUGGAAGAUAUUAGGGAGGGCGUGCUUGUAAGUGUUUAUUUCUAUUAGUUGCUUCUUGACUUGGUUUUUCG